RNAcentral lists this ribosomal RNA (393 nucleotides) under Taeniaptera sp. SMB-2011. RNAcentral's name for it is "eukaryotic LSU rRNA". It matches the Rfam family "Eukaryotic large subunit ribosomal RNA", at positions 38 to 696 of the family's 3401-position model. The record is from RNAcentral. Lineage: Eukaryota; Metazoa; Arthropoda; Insecta; Diptera; Micropezidae.
GCAUAUUAAUGAGGGGAGGAAAAGAAACUAACUAGGAUUUUCUUAGUAGCGGCGAGCGAAAAGAAAUUAGUUCAGCACUAAGUCACUUUGUUUAAUAUGGCAAAUGUGAGAUGCAGUGUAUGGAAUAUCUAUUUAUCUAAUAAAUAUAAUUGACGAUUUAAGUCCUUCUUAAAUGAGGCCAAUUACCCAUAGAGGGUGCCAGGCCCGUAAAACGUUUAAUAAUUAUUAGAAGAUGCUUUCCAAAGAGUCGUGUUGCUUGAUAGUGCAGCACUAAGUUGGUGGUAAACUCCAUCUAAAACUAAAUAUAACCAUGAGACCGACUAGUAAACAAGUACCGUGAGGGAAACGUUGAAAAGMACUACGACCAAGUCUCUGCUACCGUACGAGCGACGA